AUUGAACGCUGGCGGCAGGCCUAACACAUGCAAGUCGAGCGGAUGAAGGGAGCUUGCUCCUGGAUUCAGCGGCGGACGGGUGAGUAAUGCCUAGGAAUCUGCCUGGUAGUGGGGGAUAACGUCCGGAAACGGGCGCUAAUACCGCAUACGUCCUGAGGGAGAAAGUGGGGGAUCUUCGGACCUCACGCUAUCAGAUGAGCCUAGGUCGGAUUAGCUAGUUGGUGGGGUAAAGGCCUACCAAGGCGACGAUCCGUAACUGGUCUGGGAGGAUGAUCAGUCACACUGGAACUGAGACACGGUCCAGACUCCUACGGGAGGCAGCAGUGGGGAAUAUUGGACAAUGGGCGAAAGCCUGAUCCAGCCAUGCCGCGUGCGUGAAGAAGGUCUUCGGAUUGUAAAGCACUUUAAGUUGGGAGGAAGGGCAGUAAGUUAAUACCUUGCUGUUUUGACGUUACCAACAGAAUAAGCACCGGCUAACUUCGUG
This 484-nucleotide ribosomal RNA is filed under the name uncultured bacterium. RNAcentral describes it as "partial 16S ribosomal RNA". It matches the Rfam family "Bacterial small subunit ribosomal RNA", at positions 30 to 507 of the family's 1533-position model. The record is from RNAcentral.